GGCGAGUGAAGCGGCAAAAGCUCAAAUUUGAAAUCUAGCACCUUCGGUGUUCGAGUUGUAAUUUGAAGAUGGUAACCUUGGGUUUGGCUCUUGUCUAUGUUCCUUGGAACAGGACGUCAUAGAGGGUGAGAAUCCCGUCUGAUGAGAUGCCCAUUCCUAUGUAAGGUGCUAUCGAAGAGUCGAGUUGUUUGGGAAUGCAGCUCUAAGUGGGUGGUAAAUUCCAUCUAAAGCUAAAUAUUGGCGAGAGACCGAUAGCGAACAAGUACAGUGAUGGAAAGAUGAAAAGAACUUUGAAAAGAGAGUGAAAAAGUACGUGAAAUUGUUGAAAGGGAAGGGCAUUAGAUCAGACUUGGUGUUUUACGAUUAUCUUCUCUUCUUGAGUUGUGCACUCGUAUUUCACUGGGCCAGCAUCGAUUCGGAUGGCAAGAUAAUGGCAGUUGAAUGUGGCUUCACUUCGGUGGAGUGUUAUAGCUUCUGCUGAUAUUGCCUGUCUGGAUCGAGGGCUGCGUCUUUUGACUAGGAUGCUGGCGUAAUGAUCUAAUGCCGC
RNAcentral lists this ribosomal RNA (547 nucleotides) under Hansenula anomala. RNAcentral describes it as "eukaryotic LSU rRNA". It matches the Rfam family "Eukaryotic large subunit ribosomal RNA", at positions 88 to 648 of the family's 3401-position model. Lineage: Eukaryota; Fungi; Ascomycota; Saccharomycetes; Phaffomycetales; Wickerhamomycetaceae. The record is from RNAcentral.